Molecule: ribosomal RNA, 253 nt
Filed under: uncultured bacterium
Lineage: Bacteria
Description: partial 16S ribosomal RNA
Rfam family: Bacterial small subunit ribosomal RNA
Source: RNAcentral
UACAGAGGUGCCGAGCGUUAGGCGGAAUCACUGGGCUUAAAGCGUGUGUAGGCGGAUGCCUAAGUACCUUGUGAAAUCCCACGGCUUAACCGUGGAACUGCUUGGUAUACUGGGUGUCUUGAGCCACUUAGGGGCUACCGGAACAAAUGGUGGAGCGGUGAAAUGCGUAGAUAUCAUUUGGGACGCCAACGGUGAAAACAGGUAGCUGGGAGUGUGCUGACGCUGAGACACGAAAGCCAGGGGAGCAAACGGG